This 491-nucleotide ribosomal RNA is filed under the name uncultured bacterium. Its description in RNAcentral is "partial 16S ribosomal RNA". It matches the Rfam family "Bacterial small subunit ribosomal RNA", at positions 29 to 506 of the family's 1533-position model. The record is from RNAcentral.
AGUGAACGCUGGCGGUAGGCCUAACACAUGCAAGUCGAACGGCAGCACAGUAAGAGCUUGCUCUUACGGGUGGCGAGUGGCGGACGGGUGAGGAAUACAUCGGAAUCUACUUUUUCGUGGGGGAUAACGUAGGGAAACUUACGCUAAUACCGCAUACGACCUACGGGUGAAAGCAGGGGAUCUUCGGACCUUGCGCGAUUGAAUGAGCCGAUGUCGGAUUAGCUAGUUGGCGGGGUAAAGGCCCACCAAGGCGACGAUCCGUAGCUGGUCUGAGAGGAUGAUCAGCCACACUGGAACUGAGACACGGUCCAGGCUCCUACGGGAGGCAGCAGUGGGGAAUAUAGGACAAUGGGCGCAAGCCUGAUCCAGCCAUGCCGCGUGGGUGAAGAAGGCCUUCGGGUUGUAAAGCCCUUUUGUUGGGAAAGAAAAGCAGCAGGUUAAUACCCCGCUGUUCUGACGGUACCCAAAGAAUAAGCACCGGCUAACUUCGU